This 256-nucleotide non-coding RNA is filed under the name Marchantia polymorpha (common liverwort). The record is from RNAcentral. Lineage: Eukaryota; Viridiplantae; Streptophyta; Marchantiopsida; Marchantiales; Marchantiaceae.
GGCGGUAUCCUUCUUGAGCUAAAAAGAUGUAGCUUCCUGCUACAUCUCACACGACACAUCUCAUUUGAAUGUUCAAACCUUUAGUGACUGAAUCGAAUACUAAAGUUAAUUUGACUUCAAUAGAGACUAGUUUGCGGGAGAAACUGUGCCAGUUAGCAGGAGGGUGUGAUGAGUGCUUUACCUGGUCCAGGAUCCCCACCCCCUCCUCCACUGCCUAUUUCUAGGCUCGCGUUACCUGCCUAUCACUCUUGAGCUA